GAGGCAGAACCAUGUGUGUACAGCAAUAUGAUAUCUUCAUAUGUGCUGAAGAGGAACUGCAACAUUAUAUGGUGGCGAAUGGGCAGUCGGGACUCAAAUUAUAAUUGGUUCUACGACAAUCAUUUUCCCAACAUUU
Small nucleolar RNA from Cryptomeria japonica (Japanese cedar), 136 nucleotides. RefSeq annotates it as small nucleolar RNA snoR135. NCBI's taxonomy places the organism in Eukaryota, Viridiplantae, Streptophyta, Pinopsida, Cupressales, Cupressaceae. The transcript has a single exon. The record is from RefSeq and is a predicted model, not a curated record.